GACGAACGCUGGCGGCGUGCUUAACACAUGCAAGUCGAACGGUGAAGCUCCAGCUUGCUGGAGUGGAUCAGUGGCGAACGGGUGAGUAACACGUGAGCAACCUGCCCCUGACUCUGGAAUAAGCGCUGGAAACGGCGUCUAAUACUGGAUACGAGAAGGGUCCGCAUGGGCACUUUCUGGAAAGUUUUUCGGUUGGGGAUGGGCUCGCGGCCUAUCAGCUUGUUGGUGAGGUAAUGGCUCACCAAGGCGACGACGGGUAGCCGGCCUGAGAGGGCGACCGGCCACACUGGGACUGAGACACGGCCCAGACUCCUACGGGAGGCAGCAGUGGGGAAUAUUGCACAAUGGGCGAAAGCCUGAUGCAGCGACGCCGCGUGAGGGAUGACGGCCUUCGGGUUGUAAACCUCUUUCAGCAGGGAAGAAGCGAAAGUGACGGUACCUGCAGGAGAAGCACCGGCUAACUACGUG
RNAcentral lists this ribosomal RNA (468 nucleotides) under uncultured bacterium. RNAcentral's name for it is "partial 16S ribosomal RNA". It matches the Rfam family "Bacterial small subunit ribosomal RNA", at positions 28 to 507 of the family's 1533-position model. The record is from RNAcentral.